This 490-nucleotide ribosomal RNA is filed under the name uncultured bacterium. RNAcentral's name for it is "partial 16S ribosomal RNA". It matches the Rfam family "Bacterial small subunit ribosomal RNA", at positions 30 to 507 of the family's 1533-position model. The record is from RNAcentral.
AUUGAACGCUGGCGGCAGGCCUAACACAUGCAAGUCGAACGGUAACAGGAAGAAGCUUGCUUCUUUGCUGACGAGUGGCGGACGGGUGAGUAAUGUCUGGGAAACUGCCUGAUGGAGGGGGAUAACUACUGGAAACGGUAGCUAAUACCGCAUAACGUCGCAAGACCAAAGAGGGGGACCUUCAGGCCUCUUGCCAUCGGAUGUGCCCAGAUGGGAUUAGCUAGUAGGUGGGGUAACGGCUCACCUAGGCGACGAUCCCUAGCUGGUCUGAGAGGAUGACCAGCCACACUGGAACUGAGACACGGUCCAGACUCCUACGGGAGGCAGCAGUGGGGAAUAUUGCACAAUGGGCGCAAGCCUGAUGCAGCCAUGCCGCGUGUAUGAAGAAGGCCUUCGGGUUGUAAAGUACUUUCAGCGGGGAGGAAGGGAGUAAAGUUAAUACCUUUGCUCAUUGACGUUACCCGCAGAAGAAGCACCGGCUAACUCCGUG